GACGAACGCUGGCGGCGUGCUUAACACAUGCAAGUCGAACGGAAAGGCCCUGCUUUUGUGGGGUGCUCGAGUGGCGAACGGGUGAGUAACACGUGAGUAACCUGCCCUUGACUUUGGGAUAACUUCAGGAAACUGGGGCUAAUACCGGAUAGGAGCUCCUGCUGCAUGGUGGGGGUUGGAAAGUUUCGGCGGUUGGGGAUGGACUCGCGGCUUAUCAGCUUGUUGGUGGGGUAGUGGCUUACCAAGGCUUUGACGGGUAGCCGGCCUGAGGGGGUGACCGGCCACAUUGGGACUGAGAUACGGCCCAGACUCCUACGGGAGGCAGCAGUGGGGAAUAUUGCACAAUGGGCGGAGGCCUGAUGCAGCAACGCCGCGUGCGGGAUGACGGCCUUCGGGUUGUAAACCGCUUUCGCCUGUGACGAAGCGUGAGUGACGGUAAUGGGUAAAGAAGCACCGGCUAACUACGUG
This 468-nucleotide ribosomal RNA is filed under the name uncultured bacterium. RNAcentral describes it as "partial 16S ribosomal RNA". It matches the Rfam family "Bacterial small subunit ribosomal RNA", at positions 28 to 507 of the family's 1533-position model. The record is from RNAcentral.